This 858-nucleotide unclassified non-coding RNA is filed under the name Hevea brasiliensis (rubber tree). The record is from RNAcentral. Lineage: Eukaryota; Viridiplantae; Streptophyta; Magnoliopsida; Malpighiales; Euphorbiaceae.
UUUUUCCCCAUCAUCUACUACAUGUACAAAUGUUGUUUUCACAAUUUGCCAAUGUGAACGCAGAAGAUGCUACUCCUAUUAUUCUACUACGGCGGCACGUGCAAAGUCACGGACGUUAAAGUCUCGUUUGACACUUGCGGCUGAAAAUAAUCCAUUGGUGGCCCCACUCAAAAAGGCUUGUGCAGGUGCAUGAACAUAUCCUGCAGCGGCGACAUCUGAUAACUGCUCUGAAACUGAGAACCUAACAAGCUAUUAUCCACCGUUGUGGCGCCGGUAGUGGCAUCCAUGUAAUUAAAUGGAAGAUCGAGGGUAGCUUUCUCCCAAUCUGUCAGUUUCGGCUCACUCUGCACUUCUCUUUCACAUGUGAAUUCGGGUGAGAGCACGUGUUCCGAGCAGCUUGAAUCGGAGUGCAUCUUCGGAACUGAAUCGGACGGCAGGUAGAAGAAAUCGUUGUGCAAUUGCUGCGGCUGAGGAUGUGGAGGUAGCGGUGGUAGAAUCUCCGGCUUCCGAUCUUCUGGAGAUCCAACUUUAUCCAUGUAGCAGGUAGUGUUCAUUUUCCUGUUCUUCUCAAUCGAUCCCUUUUUGUUGUAAAUUCUACAUAGAACCCAAUCGUCCAGCCUUAAGCUAUUGUUAUUCUUCCGAGCAGAUCGAUCAACAUCAGCUAGACGAUAUUCAUGCAUGAUCCAAUUAGUUUUCUCUCCUUUAGGUGCUUUACCAGAAUAAAACACCAAUGCUUUCUUAAUUCCCACCGCUUUCGGAUUUCCAAUCGGCUUAUCCGCACCAGUAGCCUUCCAAUAUCCAGUUCCAGCAGCUCGAUUAGGUCGUGAACCAUUCGGAUACUUCCGAUCUCGAGGUGAA